RNAcentral lists this long non-coding RNA (1041 nucleotides) under Equus caballus (horse). RNAcentral describes it as "lncRNA (ENSECAG00000050844.1)". Lineage: Eukaryota; Metazoa; Chordata; Mammalia; Perissodactyla; Equidae. The record is from RNAcentral.
AGCAAAUGCUUAAUGAAUUGAGUCAGUUUGUAUCUACGGAACCUUGAACGUAAAGGCUGAAUUGUCAUGGGCUGUGAUUAUUUGGUUGGCAAACCUGAGAGAGAACGUCCUUCUCAGCAGCUCGCAGAUGCCUCUCAAUGUGUUUACCCCUGGAGGCUGCCAUAUGGCUUGAUGUGGCACUGCUCCUUGCAGCAGCUGGGAAAAAGAGUGCCUUGGUCCUGAAGGAGACAUCUGGGUGGUACAUCACAGCAUCCGUGACACACAAGAAGUAAAGCCAGGUUUAGAACCCAGGCAGUCAGAUUCCACAGCCUGGAUGCUUAACCGCUGCCCUCUACUGCUUGGAAGCAUCUAGAGGAAGUAUUUUGAAGAGCAAAACAGACCGAAUGUCUGGAUGUUUCCUUCCUGUGGCCCUGCACUCACUUGGAGAAACAUUUCGAUCAAAUUCGAGCAGGUUUGCCUCAUUAGGUUUUUUGUUCAUCCUUGUCAAGAUUUCCCACUUGGCCACUGUGGCAUUAUUUCCUUGGUUGGCCAUCUCAGGGGAGAGGAGGUGGUGACGAGGAGGCCUCUGCUGAGAAAGGAAAGGUUUAACAAGGAGUUGCUGCCCUGCCUUGCCAUCAGCCCCUACAGCCCCCAUGGAAACAGCACAUUCUAUUUAACAAGGACUUCAGGUUGCAAGUCCUGUUCGGCCAUCUCCCUCCUUGCCCUCCCCACACCUCCCUGCCCCUGAGCCACGGCCUCUUUGGGGAAGGGAGGAGGGUUGCUCUCCUGCUAUUGAACCUGAACUGGAAACCAGCUCCGUGAGCUCAGUUUUCUCUGAACAUAACUGUUGGCUCCCUCUUCUUCCAAAGGAAAAUUUACAGCUCCAAUUUUUACAAUUUACAUCUUUCAUUUAAUAUUCCAGCCUUCUUUCCCCAAGGCUUUCAGCACAGCUCAUGUCAGAAGGGACUACUUAUUUCCUGAACCCUUUUUGCAUUAUUAGUUUCAUUUAUUAUUUUUAUGUUUUCUAUUGGGUCCAUGUACAUAACGUUUCUCUGAGAUCCC